RNAcentral lists this unclassified non-coding RNA (353 nucleotides) under soil metagenome. Its description in RNAcentral is "partial contains 5.8S ribosomal RNA, internal transcribed spacer 2, and large subunit ribosomal RNA". The stretch from base 1 to 120 matches the Rfam family "5.8S ribosomal RNA", at positions 35 to 154 of the family's 154-position model. The record is from RNAcentral.
GAUGAAGAACGCAGCGAAAUGCGAUAAGUAAUGUGAAUUGCAGAAUUCAGUGAAUCAUCGAAUCUUUGAACGCGCAUUGCGCCCGCCAGUAUUCUGGCGGGCAUGCCUGUUCGAGCGUCAUUACAACCCUCAGGCCCCCGGGCCUGGCGUUGGGGAUCGGCGGAAGCCCCCUGCGGGCACAACGCCGUCCCCCAAAUACAGUGGCGGUCCCGCCGCAGCUUCCAUUGCGUAGUAGCUAACACCUCGCAACUGGAGAGCGGCGCGGCCACGCCGUAAAACACCCAACUUCUGAAUGUUGACCUCGAAUCAGGUAGGAAUACCCGCUGAACUUAAGCAUAUCAAUAAGCGGAGGA